UUACGUGUACUUGUAUUUCCCCAAAUUAAUUAAAAUCCUUAAAGUUUCAACUCACUCAAUCAUCGCCAUCAAUGUCGAGGCUUCUCCUUCUCUCCCUCUCCUUCCUCUUCACCAUUCUGUAUCUCCCUUGCUCCUCCCUCGCCGAUAUCGGCACCGCCGCCUGGUACGCUCCUCCUUAUUCUCGUAAGUACACUCCCUCCCCCCCUCCCUCCUCAGUCCAAUUUCAUAUAUGAUUUGUGUUUUCUCGAUCUGUGAACUCUCUGAAUACAAAAUCUUCCCCAGCGACGGCGUGUUACGGCGGCGAC
This 305-nucleotide long non-coding RNA is filed under the name Linum usitatissimum (flax). RNAcentral's name for it is "long non-coding RNA (LUSI_LNC001330)". Lineage: Eukaryota; Viridiplantae; Streptophyta; Magnoliopsida; Malpighiales; Linaceae. The record is from RNAcentral.